Molecule: ribosomal RNA, 253 nt
Filed under: uncultured bacterium
Lineage: Bacteria
Description: partial 16S ribosomal RNA
Rfam family: Bacterial small subunit ribosomal RNA
Source: RNAcentral
UACGUAGGGACCAAGCGUUGUCCGGAAUCAUUGGGCGUAAAGAGCGUGUAGGCGGUCCGGUAAGUCCGCUGUGAAAGUCGGGGGCUCAACCCUCGAAUGCCGGUGGAUACUGUCGGGCUAGAGUGCGGAAGAGGCGAGUGGAAUUCCUGGUGUAGCGGUGAAAUGCGCAGAUAUCAGGAGGAACACCGAUGGCGAAGGCAGCUCGCUGGGACGGUACUGACGCUGAGGAGCGAAAGCGUGGGGAGCGAACAGG